Molecule: transfer RNA, 50 nt
Filed under: Hypopterygium tamarisci
Lineage: Eukaryota; Viridiplantae; Streptophyta; Bryopsida; Hookeriales; Hypopterygiaceae
Description: partial tRNA-Phe
Source: RNAcentral
CCGGAAUAGCUCAGUUGGUAGAGCAGAGGACURAAAMUCCUCGUGUCACC